CAGUCGCCACGGUAAUGCGUAGGGUGCGAGCGUUAAUCGGAAUUACUGGGCGUAAAGCGUGCGCAGGCGGUUAUAUAAGACAGAUGUGAAAUCCCCGGGCUCAACCUGGGACCUGCAUUUGUGACUGUAUAGCUAGAGUACGGUAGAGGGGGAUGGAAUUCCGCGUGUAGCAGUGAAAUGCGUAGAUAUGCGGAGGAACACCGAUGGCGAAGGCAAUCCCCUGGACCUGUACUGACGCUCAUGCACGAAAGCGUGGGGAGCAAACAGGAUUAGAUACCCGAGUAGUCCCUGUCUCUUAUAU
Molecule: ribosomal RNA, 301 nt
Filed under: uncultured bacterium
Lineage: Bacteria
Description: partial 16S ribosomal RNA
Rfam family: Bacterial small subunit ribosomal RNA
Source: RNAcentral